This is a non-coding RNA of Arachis ipaensis, 467 nucleotides long. The record is from RefSeq and is a predicted model, not a curated record. Lineage: Eukaryota; Viridiplantae; Streptophyta; Magnoliopsida; Fabales; Fabaceae.
AAAAUUAGAAUAAGUUAUAUAACAUUUGGAAGAUUAACCCUAAGAGAGUCAUCAUUGCUUCUAAGAAAUUCGUUCACUCCAUUAUCUUUGCAAGUUGGUGUUUCUGUACAUUGAGAAAGUUGAAGCAAGCUUGAAUAUGAAAAAAUUAGUCAUUAUACUUCCAAGGAGGAGGUCUUCCGCUAUAUAUUGGCACUUCAUUCUCUUUUGGAAAAUCCUCCUAGAGACUAUCCUAAUAGUAUAAGAGAAGACCUUGUUAAGGGGUUUGUUAGGAUCUGUUUGUUGAUCAGGGAAGAGGGAAAGAUAUCACGCAAGCUUGUUGAGUGUAUUAAUACAUAUUUGUUAAAUGAUGGUCCAAAUUUGUGCGGUCAUUUGUUACAGAUUCAUACUGCUAUACAGCAAUUCAUGUUUCGUUGUUGGCUGGCAACACAUGAUCGAGUGCUUAAGGAUUCACUUAUAUUGUAUUCAAG